Molecule: long non-coding RNA, 1110 nt
Organism: Leptopilina boulardi
Lineage: Eukaryota; Metazoa; Arthropoda; Insecta; Hymenoptera; Figitidae
Exons: 4
Source: RefSeq, a predicted model, not a curated record
UGCAAAGUAUUUUGAUUUAUUUGAAAAUAAUUGAAAAUAGAUUUUUCAAGGACGGUGUCGAGGUCACGGGGUCGGUGUCGUUUUUCGAAAUUUGUUAACUUAAUAUAAUAGAAGAUGUUUCGUUUUAAAUUAAGAAAUGUUAAAAUUAUUAAGUUAAAAACAUUUGAUUUUAAUGACACUUAAAAUUAGACACAAUAUUAUAGGUUACUAACUAAAAAUUGAAAAAACAACAAUAAAUAAUAAAAAAUAAUAAUAAAAAAUUGAAAAAAUCAAAAAAUUCUUAAAAAAUUGCAAAAUAACCCUUUUUCGGGAUAAAAUUGCAAAAUAAACCUUUUUCGGGUUAAAAUUAAAAAAUAACCCUUUUUCGGGUUAAAAUUGAAAAAAGAUGUUACAUAAAAAUAGUUUGUAAGAUUUUCUAAAAGCAUAUAAGCAAAGUAUUUUGAUUUAUUUGAAAAUAAUUGAAAAUAGAUUUUUCAAGGACGGUGUCGAGGUCACUGGGUCGGUGUCGUUUUUCGAAAUUUGUUAACUUAAUAUAAUAGAAGAUGUUUCGUUUUAAAUUAAGAAAUGUUAAAAUUAUUAAGUUAAAAACAUUUGAUUUUAAUGACACUUAAAAUUAGACACAAUAUUAUAGGUUACUAACUAAAAAUUGAAAAAACAACAAUAAAUAAUAAAAAAUAAUAAUAAAAAAUUGAAAAAAUCAAAAAAUUCUUAUAAAAUUGCAAAAUAACCCUUUUUCGGGAUAAAAUUGCAAAAUAAACCUUUUUCGGGUUAAAAUUGAAAAAUAACCCUUUUUCGGGUUAAAAUUGAAAAAAGAUGUUAAAUAAAAAUAGUUUGUAAGAUUUUCUAAAAGCAUAUAUGCAAAGUAUUUUGAUUUAUUUGAAAAUAAUUGAAAAUAGAUUUUUCAAGGACGGUGUCGAGGUCACGGGGUCGGUGUCGUUUUUCGAAAUUUGUUAACUUAAUAUAAUAGAAGAUGUUUCAUUUUAAAUUAAGAAAUGAUAAAAUUAUUAAGUUAAAAACAUUUGAUUUUAAUGACACUUAAAAUUAGACACAAUAUUAUAGGUUACUAACUAAAAUUUGAAAAAACAACAAUAAAUAAUAAAAAAUAAUAAU